GCCGACGUAGCUCAGUUGGUAGAGCAAUGCUUUCGUAAAGCAGAGGUCGUGGGUUCAAAUCCCAUCGUCGGCUCCA
This 76-nucleotide transfer RNA is filed under the name Candidatus Peregrinibacteria bacterium. Its description in RNAcentral is "tRNA-Thr". It matches the Rfam family "tRNA". Rfam says of the family: Transfer RNA (tRNA) molecules are approximately 80 nucleotides in length. Their secondary structure includes four short double-helical elements and three loops (D, anti-codon, and T loops). The record is from RNAcentral. Lineage: Bacteria; Candidatus Peregrinibacteriota.